UAAUUUCUUUUAUCUUCUUUCUUCCUCACAAUUUUACAUUUACUCACUCAGCAGUAAAGGUCUUGGACCUGAAAUUCUUGUAGUACUAAUUUAACAGAACCGUUCUUCGAGAAAAUGGCUUGUGAAGGUCUUGGACACUGCAAAAAUGGUUUGUCUUGGGUCUUAAUCAUAUUUUCUCUGAACAUUCUGAGCUUGACGU
RNAcentral lists this long non-coding RNA (199 nucleotides) under Hordeum vulgare. Its description in RNAcentral is "long non-coding RNA (HVUL_LNC008289)". The record is from RNAcentral. Lineage: Eukaryota; Viridiplantae; Streptophyta; Magnoliopsida; Poales; Poaceae.